RNAcentral lists this ribosomal RNA (654 nucleotides) under uncultured Chaetoceros. RNAcentral's name for it is "eukaryotic LSU rRNA". It matches the Rfam family "Eukaryotic large subunit ribosomal RNA", at positions 1 to 678 of the family's 3401-position model. Lineage: Eukaryota; Bacillariophyta; Thalassiosirophyceae; Chaetocerotales; Chaetocerotaceae. The record is from RNAcentral.
AUCGAAUCUCAGCUUUGUAAGGAUACCCCCUGAAUUUAAGCAUAUAAUUAAAGGGGAGGAAAGAAACUAACAAGGAUUCCCUCAGUAAGGGCGACUGAAGCGGGAAGAGCUCACCGUGUGAAUCGACAUUCUAUGUCGAGUUGUGGUCUGUAGAAGUAACAUCUGUCGAGAUUCCGAGCUAAGUCUCUUGGAAAAGAGCAGCUGAGAGGGUGACACUCCCGUUCUUGCUUGGAAUCUACGACAAUAGCAUGUGUCUUCAACGAGUCGAGUUGCUUGGGAUCGCAGCUCAAACGCGUGGUAUACUCCAUGUAAAGCUAAAUAUUGGUAGGAAACCGAUAGCGCACAAGUACAGUGAUGUAAAGAUGAGAAGCACUUUGAAAAGAGAGUUAAAGAGUACCUGAAAUUGCUGAAAGGGAAGCGAAUGGAAACAGUGUGUUUCCGUACCAUUCUUCCUUCACGACUUGUCGUGUGGGCGCUGUGGUGCGGAGUCAGUCAGCAUGGGUUUGAGUCGGGACAUAUAGCCGUUGAGGAGGCAUGCUUCUUUUAGCAGAUUACUCUUUGGUGUUGUCUUGGCUUGGAUCGAGGCUAGCAUUUCGUGAUGCUGACGAAAUGUUUCUAUUCACCCCGUCUUGAAACACGGACCAAGGAGUCUAA